GUUACUGUGUGUCUUUGU
RNAcentral lists this non-coding RNA (18 nucleotides) under Arabidopsis thaliana (thale cress). The record is from RNAcentral. Lineage: Eukaryota; Viridiplantae; Streptophyta; Magnoliopsida; Brassicales; Brassicaceae.